UACCCAAAAGCAAUAUAACAGGGAGAAAGUACAUACUGGAAAAAGGAAAAAGGCAGAUUAAGAAGGAAACAAAGCAGUGGCUAAAAGGAAAGAAUACAUAAGUUCAGCAGUAAACUAAGCUCCAGAUACAGCAAAAGGCAAUAAUGUGCUAUUCAUCUUAUUCACUACCACAACAAAAAGCAAAAGAAAAAUGUAAAAAAAUAAGUAAAAAUAUGACAUUCAUCUUAUAUGAUUUCCAUCUUUAUUGUUGAAUCUUUUUGCAAAGCAUGUUAAUAAAAUAGCAUCAACAUCACUCUAAAUUUUGAAACAAAAGCCACCGAUGUUCUAAAAAUGUACAAAAAUAAGCAAACAAAAAAAACACAAAAAAGAGUUCCCUCCCCCUCACUGCCGCUUCCCUCCGUCAAAUAACAUCACGUGCUUCCGCACAUCCUCGGCCUCGUCGCCGCUGCCGGCAGCCAUCGCGCCAUCCACGGUGGCGUCUCAUCCCUUUCUCUUCCACCCACAAACGUGUCCAGGGGAGGACGCGAGCCCAUCAGUUCGUGAAGCAGCCGUCCAGCCUUCCAGGCGCCACCGGUGGCCUCCAGGCCGCUGCCAUGGCAGCCGCAGCCCCCAUGGGCUUCCUAUUUACUCAAGUUAGAUAGAUAAUGGGCCUGCCCAUCCUAUGUUUUUUUUAUC
Molecule: non-coding RNA, 675 nt
Organism: Lupinus albus (white lupine)
Lineage: Eukaryota; Viridiplantae; Streptophyta; Magnoliopsida; Fabales; Fabaceae
Source: the annotation of a GenBank genome assembly